Molecule: ribosomal RNA, 422 nt
Filed under: uncultured Chitinophagaceae bacterium
Lineage: Bacteria; Pseudomonadati; Bacteroidota; Chitinophagia; Chitinophagales; Chitinophagaceae
Description: bacterial SSU rRNA
Rfam family: Bacterial small subunit ribosomal RNA
Source: RNAcentral
AGUAAGGAAUAUUGGUCAAUGGACGCAAGUCUGAACCAGCCAUGCCGCGUGGAGGAUGAAGGUCCUCUGGAUUGUAAACUUCUUUUAUCUGGGACGAAACACUUCUUUUCUAAGAGGCCUGACGGUACCAGAUGAAUAAGCACCGGCUAACUCCGUGCCAGCAGCCGCGGUAAUACGGAGGGUGCAAGCGUUAUCCGGAUUCACUGGGUUUAAAGGGUGCGUAGGUGGGUAUGUAAGUCAGAGGUGAAAUCCCCGAGCUUAACUUGGGAACUGCCUUUGAUACUAUAUAUCUUGAAUACCGUAGAGGUAAGCGGAAUAUGUCAUGUAGCGGUGAAAUGCUUAGAUAUGACAUGGAACACCAAUUGCGAAGGCAGCUUACUAUGCGGAAAUUGACACUGAGGCACGAAAGCGUGGGUAGCAAA